AAUAAACAGUUAUAGGCAAUGCCUUGUUUCUCACCACGUUCUCUAAACCUUUUCAGUUUGUCUUUUAGCACUGUUGAACUGAAAAGGUCAUUGAGACUUUACUUCAUGUCUAAAGGUUCUAAAAAUUCCCCAGGGUUCCAAGACUUGCUGUGGACUAGAACUGCAAUCAGUAGAGGUAUAGAAACUGUCAGUUGCUGGAGGAGGAUCCAUUUGGAAUAAGGCAGAUAAAUGCACUAAGAGACUGCUAAGAACUGAUUUGACAUCAAGACACUGAAUUUUAGAAAAUAAUGGAGCCUGACUGUGAGAACUGUCUGUAUUCAAACAUGUUAAGAGCUGAAUAUUUAAAAUUUGUUUGGCUCACCAAGCUUGGCUUUCUGAAGACAACAGAAGUGGGAUACAGAGAUCAAAAAGAAAAAAAAAAUGUAAAAUUAUUGUUAAACAAUCAAAUGCAAGGUAUUUUGUCUUCUUUCACUCCUUAAAAGAAAAUCAAUCAAUUAAUACACAAAGAUAAAAGUUAGAAACCUACUGUAAUCUAUUAAGGUCCAGGAAUUUAAAGAAUCAAAUGUACCUUCUGGGUUUCAGAAUCCAUCGCGGAGAAUGUAGAGGGUGAUGAGAAGACUUUGCAUUUGACCAAAAAGCACUAGUAAAUAAGGAGUUAAAAUGAAGGCAGGCUCGCUGGUUUGCUGAGAUCUGUCAGAGUCUGACUGGCUGGCUACAUAUCUGUCUCUGGAACAAUAGGUACCUGUAUUCUGCACGGACUGCUGGGCAGCACUAACACUCUGGAGAAGGUCUGCCGCUGUCUGCACUUUCCUGGUUCUAUGCAGGCAGAUGAGUGUCACAGCUGUAACUGAGGCACAGAGCAGUACACAUAGUGGAGCCGAUUUCCGCGAUGGCGAGAGGGGGCACCGGAGGUGACAACAAUAACAAGACCGUCCUUCAGACAAGUUUUAGAUUCUCAGGAUGAUGGAGUGAGUGAUGGAAUAGGUUGCCAACUGUAGUUACUCCACUCAGCACAGAAUGGCUGCGGGGAAAUAUAAUCAGACAUGCCCAAAGAAGUCUGCUUAGGGUGAAACAAAUACCUUUGAGGUUUAAAUCAGAAAGGAAGGAGAGACUGUUUCUACAGGUGUCAUACAAAAAUCAAUACUGAGCCAAGGAUUAUUGGAUCCCAUAGAAGCACGGAGACUUGGCAGUGAAAUUCUUCCAAAGCAUUCCAUCCAUGCAGGCAGAUGGUGUUCCUAGGUUUGGAAAUAUAAAUCCCAUGGGAAGUCAGGUGAAGACCAUUUUAUGCAUCACUCAUCCUAUUACGAGCCCUGUGCUGUUCUGUCUCUCUAUAAGACUGGCUGAAACCACAACGGUUGUUUACAAUUUAUGCUCUAACUUUGGAUCACCUAGUUAAUACUCUGACUCUGAUUAUUACCAAAGACAAUGUUCUAUAAAAGAUAUUCUCUAUUAGAAGGAUGCUUCUGCAUUAUUAAUAAAAUCACAGGGAAAAUGCAACAUUUUUGAUGUCACAUCUGAUAAGUGGGUGACUGAUCGUACCCGCCAGCUGGCUAAUGUCAUAAUUAACAAAGUGCUACUACAUCUGCAAAGUUUAAUCAAAAAAUUUGCCAGUGAUAUGAUGGCAAUGUCACAGAGAUCACAAGGAACACAGAGUCGACUUUUGCUCAAGGUGGAACGACAGCUGUGUAGGCAGAUGAGAAAUUGCGAACUUGUUCGGCCAAAGGAGGCUAAUAAUGAAGGGGCCGGGAAGGAGGCCAGUGCUACCAGGGUUAUCUCACAACCUCAGUUGCUGGAUAAGUCGACGGAGGCAAAAUCGCUUUGGGAUGACAUUCAGAAAGGCUGGAGUGAUUACUUGGAAGAGAAAAGCCUACCUAUUCUUUCCAAGGUGCAGGAAUAUUCCCCUGACCUGCUCAUCCAGUGGUCCAGUAAUGAAUUACUGGAGACCUGCCUUAGACAAAGAGUGCACUCGGAGCCCCAACACACCUAAAGCCACGCUUUGAAGGAUCUGCCAAGCUCACUUUUAAUCAUGAGAUAGAAAUUACCCACACGGAGUCAGCAGAAAAUGAGAAAGUAGAGCUCGUGCUGUGAAUAAUUCCAGCAAGUGCCAAGGGGCUAGUUGAGGAAUGGCUUCAUGAGAACAUGCUCUAGGGGAAGUAUUAAUAGCCCACCAGUCGGGUAGGCAGCAUUCAAUCCUUCUAUGCCUUCUUUCACCACCUGUUGAGGUCUUUCUUCUGAAACAAAGAAGAAAUAGACAAAUCAGACUUGCCCUCUUGGAAAUGUGGUCCAGAUUUCUCUACUCCCAAGCUCCAAAAAAGAUGUUAGUCUAAAACAGCACCUUGGAUCUAAGCAGCACCUUUGAGAAAGAAAAGACUGCUUCAAGAAUGUCUAGUUGCACCUCCUUUCCAUAUGUGGCCUAAAUGCCUAGGUUGGAUCAAUAGUUUAAUUAUUUUAUUGAACUGUUUAAUGUUGACUAUGGACUUACAUUCACUUUUACUGUUUUCUGUAUAUUUAUUUUUGCUUGAAGUGUUUUAAUAUUGACUAUUUACCUCUGCUCAUUUUUAUUGAUUUUCUGUAUUUUUUCAAUGAAAAUUAU
Molecule: long non-coding RNA, 2593 nt
Filed under: Pongo abelii (Sumatran orangutan)
Lineage: Eukaryota; Metazoa; Chordata; Mammalia; Primates; Hominidae
Description: lincRNA
Rfam family: Rhabdomyosarcoma 2 associated transcript conserved region 9 (bases 1945-2137)
Source: RNAcentral